RNAcentral lists this unclassified non-coding RNA (263 nucleotides) under plant metagenome. RNAcentral describes it as "partial contains small subunit ribosomal RNA, internal transcribed spacer 1, and 5.8S ribosomal RNA". The record is from RNAcentral.
UUUCCGUAGGCGAACCUGCGGAAGGAUCAUUAUUGUAUAACCGAGGUGCGAGGGCUGUCGCUGACCCGACAGGUCGUGCACGCCCGAGUGCCCUCACACACAUCCACCUCACCCCUAUGUGCACCACCGCGUGGGUCCCCCUUUGGCUUGUUCGGAGGGGGGCUUACGUUUUCACACAAACUUUGUAUGCAGUGUAGAAUGUAUUUUUUGUUUUUGCGAUCACGCAAUCAAUACAACUUUCAACAACGGAUCUCUUGGCUCUC